GAUGAACGCUGGCGGCGUGCCUAAUACAUGCAAGUCGAGCGAAUGGAUUAAGAGCUUGCUCUUAUGAAGUUAGCGGCGGACGGGUGAGUAACACGUGGGUAACCUGCCCAUAAGACUGGGAUAACUCCGGGAAACCGGGGCUAAUACCGGAUAACAUUUUGAACCGCAUGGUUCGAAAUUGAAAGGUGGCUUCGGCUGUCACUUAUGGAUGGACCCGCGUCGCAUUAGCUAGUUGGUGGGGUAACGGCUCACCAAGGCAACGAUGCGUAGCCGACCUGAGAGGGUGAUCGGCCACACUGGGACGGAGACACGGCCCAGACUCCUACGGGAGGCAGCAGUAGGGAAUCUUCCGCAAUGGACGAAAGUCUGACGGAGCAACGCCGCGUGAGUGAUGAAGGCUUUCGGGUCGUAAAACUCUGUUGUUAGGGAAGAACAAGUGCUAGUUGAAUAAGCUGGCACCUUGACGGUACCUAACCAGAAAGCCACGGCUAACUACGUACCAGCCGCCGCAGUAA
RNAcentral lists this ribosomal RNA (515 nucleotides) under uncultured bacterium. Its description in RNAcentral is "partial 16S ribosomal RNA". It matches the Rfam family "Bacterial small subunit ribosomal RNA", at positions 28 to 523 of the family's 1533-position model. The record is from RNAcentral.